RNAcentral lists this ribosomal RNA (497 nucleotides) under uncultured bacterium. RNAcentral describes it as "partial 16S ribosomal RNA". It matches the Rfam family "Bacterial small subunit ribosomal RNA", at positions 28 to 507 of the family's 1533-position model. The record is from RNAcentral.
GAUGAACGCUGGCGGCGUGCCUAAUACAUGCAAGUCGAGCGAACGGACGAGAAGCUUGCUUCUCUGAUGUUAGCGGCGGACGGGUGAGUAACACGUGGAUAACCUACCUAUAAGACUGGGAUAACUUCGGGAAACCGGAGCUAAUACCGUAUAAUAUUUUGAACCGCAUGGUUCAAAAGUGAAAGACGGUCUUGCUGUCACUUCUAGAUGGAUCCGCGCUGCAUUAGCUAGUUGGUAAGGUAACGGCUUACCAAGGCAACGAUGCAUAGCCGACCUGAGAGGGUGAUCGGCCACACUGGAACUGAGACACGGUCCAGACUCCUACGGGAGGCAGCAGUAGGGAAUCUUCCGCAAUGGGCGAAAGCCUGACGGAGCAACGCCGCGUGAGUGAUGAAGGUCUUCGGAUCGUAAAACUCUGUUAUUAGGGAAGAACAUAUGUGUAAGUAACUGUGCACAUCUUGACGGUACCUAAUCAGAAAGCCACGGCUAACUACGUG